ACAUGCUUACAACAUAGUGUUAAUGCACCAGAUCCCAUUAGAACUCUACAGUUAAGCACGCUUGGGCUAGAGUAGUACAGGGAUGGGCAACUACCGGGGAAGUCCUAGUGUUUUACAUGCC
This is a non-coding RNA of Picea glauca (white spruce), 121 nucleotides long. NCBI's taxonomy places the organism in Eukaryota, Viridiplantae, Streptophyta, Pinopsida, Pinales, Pinaceae. The record is from Rfam.